This 328-nucleotide ribosomal RNA is filed under the name uncultured bacterium. Its description in RNAcentral is "bacterial SSU rRNA". It matches the Rfam family "Bacterial small subunit ribosomal RNA", at positions 28 to 334 of the family's 1533-position model. The record is from RNAcentral.
GACGAACGCUGGCGGCGUGCCUAAUACAUGCAAGUCGAACGCUUCUUUUUCCACCGGAGCUUGCUCCACCGGAAAAAGAGGAGUGGCGAACGGGUGAGUAACACGUGGGUAACCUGCCCAUCAGAAGGGGAUAACACUUGGAAACAGGUGCUAAUACCGUAUAACAAUCGAAACCGCAUGGUUUCGAUUUGAAAGACGCUUUCGGGUGUCGCUGAUGGAUGGACCCGCGGUGCAUUAGCUAGUUGGUGAGGUAACGGCUCACCAAGGCGACGAUCGUUAGCCGGACUGAGAGGUUGAACGGCCACAUUGGGACUGAGACACGGCCCAG